This 339-nucleotide ribosomal RNA is filed under the name uncultured soil bacterium. Its description in RNAcentral is "bacterial SSU rRNA". It matches the Rfam family "Bacterial small subunit ribosomal RNA", at positions 26 to 376 of the family's 1533-position model. The record is from RNAcentral.
AGAUUGAACGCUGGCGGCAUGCCUAACACAUGCAAGUCGAACGGGAGUAGCAAUACUCUAGUGGCGGACGGGUGAGGAAUACGUAGGAAUUUGCCCUUAAGUGGGGGAUAACCCGGGGAAACCCGGAUUAAUACCGCAUGACCUCGAAAGAGCAAAGUGGGGGAUCGCAAGACCUCACGCUUUUGGAGAAGCCUACGUCGGAUUAGCUAGUUGGUGAGGUAAUGGCUCACCAAGGCGACGAUCCGUAACUGGUCUGAGAGGAUGAUCAGUCACACCGGAACUGAGACACGGUCCGGACUCCUACGGGAGCAGCAGGUGGGGAAUAGUUGGACAAGUGGG